CUCAGGAUGAACGCUAGCGACAGGCUUAACACAUGCAAGUCGAGGGGCAGCGAGGGCGUAGCAAUACGCCUGUCGGCGACCGGCGCACUGGUGAGUAACACGUAUGCGACCUGCCCCCUACAGGGGUAUAACCCGUAGAAAUGCGGACUAAUCCCCCAUAGUCCCGCGGGCUGCAUGGCCUGCGGGGGAAAGGGUUUCCGGUAGGGGAUGGGCAUGCGGCGCAUUAGCUAGUUGGCGGGGCAACGGCCCACCAAGGCGACGAUGCGUAGGGGUUCUGAGAGGAAGGUCCCCCACAUUGGAACUGAGACACGGUCCAAACUCCUACGGGAGGCAGCAGUGAGGAAUAUUGGUCAAUGGGCGAGAGCCCGAACCAGCCAAGUAGCGUGCAGGAUGACGGCCCUAUGGGUUGUAAACUGCUUUUAUAAGGGAAUAAAGUGGGUCACGUGUGACUUUUUGCAUGUACCUUAUGAAUAAGGACCGGCUAAUUCCGUG
This 492-nucleotide ribosomal RNA is filed under the name uncultured bacterium. RNAcentral's name for it is "bacterial SSU rRNA". It matches the Rfam family "Bacterial small subunit ribosomal RNA", at positions 23 to 507 of the family's 1533-position model. The record is from RNAcentral.